AGCGAUGAAGGACGUGAUAAGCUGCGAUAAGCUACACUGAGAGGCAAAUACUCGUUUAAGUGUAGAUUUCCGAAUGGGGUAACCCUCUCAUUUGAAGAAUGAGAAUCCGAAAGGAAGCACACCCAGGGAACUGAAACAUCUAAGUACCUGGAGGAAAAGAAAAUAAUAAUGAUUCCCUAAGUAGCGGCGAGCGAACGGGGAAGAGCCCAAACCAAUCAUGUCUAGGCAUGGUUGGGGUU
Molecule: ribosomal RNA, 239 nt
Filed under: Trieres chinensis
Lineage: Eukaryota; Bacillariophyta; Thalassiosirophyceae; Eupodiscales; Parodontellaceae
Description: partial Bacterial large subunit ribosomal RNA
Rfam family: Bacterial large subunit ribosomal RNA
Source: RNAcentral